GAUCAUGGCUCAGAUUGAACGCUGGCGGCAUGCUUUACACAUGCAAGUCGAACGGUAACAGGCCGCAAGGUGCUGACGAGUGGCGAACGGGUGAGUAAUGCAUCGGAACGUGCCCAGUCGUGGGGAUAACGUAGCGAAAGUUACGCUAAUACCGCAUACGUCCUGAGGGAGAAAGCGGGGGACCGAAAGGCCUCGCGCGAUUGGAGCGGCCGAUGUCGGAUUAGCUAGUUGGUAGGGUAAAGGCCUACCAAGGCGACGAUCAGUAGGGGAUGUGAGAGCAUGAUCCCCCACACGGGUACUGAGACACGGACCCGACUCCUACGGGAGGCAGCAGUAAGGAAUAUUGGACAAUGGUCGGAAGACUGAUCCAGCCAUGCCGCGUGAAGGAUGAAGGCGCUCAGCGUUGUAAACUUCUUUUGUACGGGAACAAAAUGCGACCUGCGGGUUGUACUGAGGGUACCGUAAGAAUAAGCACCGGCUAACUCCGUG
This 489-nucleotide ribosomal RNA is filed under the name uncultured bacterium. Its description in RNAcentral is "bacterial SSU rRNA". It matches the Rfam family "Bacterial small subunit ribosomal RNA", at positions 15 to 507 of the family's 1533-position model. The record is from RNAcentral.